Molecule: ribosomal RNA, 497 nt
Filed under: uncultured bacterium
Lineage: Bacteria
Description: partial 16S ribosomal RNA
Rfam family: Bacterial small subunit ribosomal RNA
Source: RNAcentral
GAUGAACGCUGGCGGCGUGCCUAAUACAUGCAAGUCGAGCGAACGGGCGAGAAGCUUGCUUCUCUGAUGUUAGCGGCGGACGGGUGAGUAACACGUGGAUAACCUACCUAUAAGACUGGGAUAACUUCGGGAAACCGGAGCUAAUACCGGAUGAUAUUUUGAACCGCAUGGUUCAAAAGUGAAAGACGGUCUUGCUGUCACUUAUAGAUGUAUCCGCGCUGCAUUAGCUAGUUGGUAAGGUAACGGCUUACCAAGGCAACGAUGCAUAGCCGACCUGAGAGGGUGAUCGGCCACACUGGAACUGAGACACGGUCCAGACUCCUACGGGAGGCAGCAGUAGGGAAUCUUCCGCAAUGGGCGAAAGCCUGACGGAGCAACGCCGCGUGAGUGAUGAAGGUCUUCGGAUCGUAAAACUCUGUUAUUAGGGAAGAACAUAUGUGUAAGUAACUGUGCACAUCUUGACGGUACCUAAUCAGAAAGCCACGGCUAACUACGUG